UACGAAGGGGGCUAGCGUUGCUCGGAAUCACUGGGCGUAAAGGGCGCGUAGGCGGCCAUUCAAGUCGGGGGUGAAAGCCUGUGGCUCAACCACAGAAUUGCCUUCGAUACUGUUUGGCUUGAGACCGGAAGAGGUCAGUGGAACUGCGAGUGUAGAGGUGAAAUUCGUAGAUAUUCGCAAGAACACCAGUGGCGAAGGCGGCUGACUGGUCCGGUUCUGACGCUGAGGCGCGAAAGCGUGGGGAGCAAACAGG
This 253-nucleotide ribosomal RNA is filed under the name uncultured bacterium. Its description in RNAcentral is "partial 16S ribosomal RNA". It matches the Rfam family "Bacterial small subunit ribosomal RNA", at positions 524 to 776 of the family's 1533-position model. The record is from RNAcentral.